AUUGAACGCUGGCGGAAUGCUUUACACAUGCAAGUCGAACGGCAGCACGGGGGCAACCCUGGUGGCGAGUGGCGAACGGGUGAGUAAUACAUCGGAACGAGCCCGGUCGUGGGGGAUAACGUAGCGAAAGUUACGCUAAUACCGCAUACGAUCUGAGGAUGAAAGCGGGGGACCUUCGGGCCUCGCGCGAUCGGAGCGGCCGAUGUCAGAUUAGGUAGUUGGUGGGGUAAAGGCCUACCAAGCCGACGAUCUGUAGCUGGUCUGAGAGGACGACCAGCCACACUGGGACUGAGACACGGCCCAGACUCCUACGGGAGGCAGCAGUGGGGAAUUUUGGACAAUGGGCGCAAGCCUGAUCCAGCCAUUCCGCGUGCAGGACGAAGGCCUUCGGGUUGUAAACUGCUUUUGUAUGGAACGAAAAGGCUCUGGCUAAUACCUGGGGCUCAUGACGGUACCGUAAGAAUAAGCACCGGCUAACUACGUG
This 484-nucleotide ribosomal RNA is filed under the name uncultured bacterium. Its description in RNAcentral is "partial 16S ribosomal RNA". It matches the Rfam family "Bacterial small subunit ribosomal RNA", at positions 30 to 507 of the family's 1533-position model. The record is from RNAcentral.